CCGCCCUUCCCAGACCCCCGAGCCGCCCUUUUCCUUCACCUUUGCACCCCCAGAUCUCCCAAAUUUCCGUGUCACCCCAGUUCUCCACACCCGGCGUUUUCUUAAGCGAGGUCCCAGGGGGUCCCAGGUGGUUCCCAGAGGGCUCCAAGGCGGCCGCAGCCGGAAUCCAGAGGGAUCCAGAGGGAUCCCGAGGGAUCCCGAGGGAUUCUCUGGAAUUCCUCCCUCCCCUGCCUCGGGCUCGUCCUCUUCGUCCUCUUCCGCGUCCUAACCUGAGAACCCGGGAUCUCCGCUGAGGACGAUGACGUCACUGACACAUCGGGCUGCCAUUGGCGGACAGGAAAUAGCGGCGCCAAUGGCGGGGCAGGAGGCGGCUCUGUGGGCGGGGCCAGAACUGUGGGCGGGCUCAGAUCUGUGGGCGGGGCCAGCGCCGUGGCCGGGUCCGCAGCGGAGCAGCGCGAUGGGUCCAGCGCUGGCUCUGGGGCUCCUCUUGGAGCUGCAGGGGAUCCUGGGGGACCCGGGGGGCCCGACGAGUGUUCUCCACCCCCUGCUCGUCCUAUAUGGGGGUCCCAGGGGGUCCGGGACGGUCCCUGGGGGGUCGUGGAGUGCUGGGGGGGGUGAAACAGGGAAACCUUAUGAAUGUUGUUGUUUAGCAGAAGAUUCUGAAAAUAUGAAGGUUAGAAUCGAAGUAGAAAUGAAAGCCUGCUUUGAGUUAUGAAGCUGAGUACUAGUUACUAUAUAACCAAAGAACAAUAGCCUAGUCAGCUAAAGGAGAAUCCCUGCUGAUAAAACAAUGUCCUUCUGCUGAUAGAAAGUCCAAAGGUCAAGAAGCAAGGGAAGAACUUGUAAAGCUUGUAGAGUUUGAAGUGCAACACUGUAUGUUAAUAUGAGGCUGCUCAGAGGCUGUAUGUAAAUUCUUUAGUGGGUGUAUCUUGUAGUGAUUGGUUACUGAGAAUUAGAAUAUUCACUAUAGAAAAAGAUAUAUUGUAUUGUAACAAGAAGGUCUUGCUCUUAACUAUUACUCCUCUCUCAGCUCUUCUCUCUCCUCUCUUAACUCUUGACUCUUAGCUCUCACCUCUGAGCUCUUAGCCCUUACCCCCCUCUUAGUCCUUACCCCUUUCCCCACCUCUUAACUCCUACCCCUCUCUUACUUUUUACCCCUCUCCCUGCUCCUACCCCUCUCUAGUUUUCCCUGAUCUCUAACCUCUUUUCUCCCUCUCACUCCGUGCUCUCUUCCCUCCCCCGGGACCACGUGGACGCCGAGGCUGGUGGUGGACACAGGUCUCUCCCUCUCUUUACCCUUAUAAUAAAUUGCUUAUACCUGAACA
RNAcentral lists this long non-coding RNA (1325 nucleotides) under Parus major (Great Tit). Its description in RNAcentral is "lncRNA (ENSPMJG00000004772.1)". The record is from RNAcentral. Lineage: Eukaryota; Metazoa; Chordata; Aves; Passeriformes; Paridae.